This 310-nucleotide ribosomal RNA is filed under the name uncultured bacterium. Its description in RNAcentral is "bacterial SSU rRNA". It matches the Rfam family "Bacterial small subunit ribosomal RNA", at positions 29 to 334 of the family's 1533-position model. The record is from RNAcentral.
AAUGAACGCUGGCGGCAUGGAUUAGGCAUGCAAGUCGAACGGUAACAGAGAAGCUUGCUUCUGCUGACGAGUGGCGUAAGGGUGAGUAACGCGUGAGUAACCUACCUUAAGGUUGGGGAUAGCCCCGCGAAAGCGGGAUUAAUACCGAAUGUGGCGUUCUGCUAUACAGCAGAAUUGCUAAAGGAGUAAUCCGCCUUUAGAUGGGCUCGCGUCCUAUUAGCUUGUUGGUGAGGUAACGGCUCACCAAGGCUACGACAGGUAGGUGGUCUGAGAGGAUGGUCACCCACACUGGGACUGAGACACUGCCCAG